RNAcentral lists this ribosomal RNA (321 nucleotides) under Blackburnia putealis. RNAcentral describes it as "partial 28S ribosomal RNA". The record is from RNAcentral. Lineage: Eukaryota; Metazoa; Arthropoda; Insecta; Coleoptera; Carabidae.
GAUGGUUCGAUUAGUCUUUCGCCCCUAUACCCAGUUCAUACGAUCGAUUUGCACGUCAGAAUCGCUACGGACCUCCAUCAGGGUUUCCCCUGACUUCAUCCUGACCAGGCAUAGUUCACCAUCUUUCGGGUCCCAGCGUGUACGCUCUUGGUGCGCCGCAACUUGCAAUAAGUAUGCGACGCCCCGGGAAUGCGAGGUAACAUAAAUAACGUUACCCAUCUUCCCUUUAUAAAAUAUAAUUAUAAAAAUUAUAUAUAUAUAUUUACUUUCAUUACGCCUUUAGGUUUAUUAUAAAUACCCAAUGACUUGCGCACAUGCUAG